GACGAACGCUGGCGGCGUGCUUAACACAUGCAAGUCGAACGGGUCUGCCCUGUUUUUUGCGGGGUGGGUCAGUGGCGAACGGGUGAGUAACACGUGAGUAACCUGCCCCUCACUUCUGGAUAACCGCUUGAAAGGGUGGCUAAUACGGGGUGUUCUGGCUGUGCCGCAUGGUGUGGCUGGGAAAGAUUCACUUUUGUGGUGUUUUGGUGGGGGAUGGGCUCGCGGCCUAUCAGCUUGUUGGUGGGGUGAUGGCCUGCCAAGGCUUUGACGGGUAGCCGGCCUGAGAGGGUGGGCGGUCACACUGGGACUGAGAUACGGCCCAGACUCCUGCGGGAGGCAGCAGUGGGGGGUAUUGCACAAUGGGCGGAAGCCUGAUGCAGCGACGUCGCGUGAGGGAUGGAGGCCUUCGUGUUGUGAACCUCUUUCGCCGGUGAAGAAGGUCCUGCUCUUUGUGGUGGGGUUGACGGUAGCCGGGUUAUGAAGCGCCGGCUAACUACGUG
RNAcentral lists this ribosomal RNA (500 nucleotides) under uncultured bacterium. Its description in RNAcentral is "partial 16S ribosomal RNA". It matches the Rfam family "Bacterial small subunit ribosomal RNA", at positions 28 to 507 of the family's 1533-position model. The record is from RNAcentral.